GGAAUUACGGCAGCCAUAAUUUCAGCCAUUGUGCUGUCUGCUGCUGCAGCUACCACAGCUACAAUUACUAUGACCAAUCAAAUACAGACGGCUGAGACUGUCAAUCAGAUUGUAGAAAGAACUGCAGAGGCACUAGAGAUACAAGAAAGAAUUUAAUACCCAUUUGGCAUCUGGCCUUCUAUUAGCCAGUCAAAGGAUAGAUUUAGUUCAAGAAUAAAUUGAAGCACUGUAUCAUAUGACACAGCUGUCUUGUGUUUCCUCCCUUAGAGGUUUAUGCAUUAUUCCUUUGUGAGCUAACUUUUCUCAGCAUUUUCAACAGAGCAAAGAAAUCUCGAAUUAUCUGAAAGGAAACUGGUCCAUGAAAGCAGAGCAACUAUCAAGACAAUUGCUGAUGCAGAUUGCUGUCCUCAACAGCACUAGGCUGGACCCCAUCACAGUUGAAGACUUUACCUCAUGGGUUACCAAUGCUUUCUCCCUUGUUAAGGAGUGGGCGGGCAUGUUUGUCCUGGGGAGUUAUUGUCCUCCUGGGAUGCGGAGUAGGUCUCUGGCUUAUUGGCUGUUUAAAAAGAGAACAUGCCAGACACAAAGUGGUUGUUUACCAGGCUAUGACCACCAUUAAAAAGGGUGCUUCUCCCAACAUAUGGCUGGCCUCUUUGAAAGAUCAAGAGUUCGCCCUAGAUCAUUUUUGUCACAGUCAUGUGGAGUC
RNAcentral lists this long non-coding RNA (706 nucleotides) under Rattus norvegicus (Norway rat). Its description in RNAcentral is "long non-coding RNA NONRATT000147". The record is from RNAcentral. Lineage: Eukaryota; Metazoa; Chordata; Mammalia; Rodentia; Muridae.